UACGUAGGGUGCGAGCGUUAAUCGGAAUUACUGGGCGUAAAGCGUGCGCAGGCGGUUUUGUAAGUCAGAUGUGAAAUCCCCGGGCUUAACCUGGGAAUGGCAUUUGGGACUGCAAGGCUGGAGUUUGGCAGAGGAGACUGGAAUUCCCGGUGUAGCAGUGAAAUGCGUAGAUAUCGGGAGGAAUACCGAUGGCGAAGGCAGGUCUCUGGGCUAUAACUGACGCUCAUGCACGAAAGCGUGGGGAGCAAACGGG
RNAcentral lists this ribosomal RNA (253 nucleotides) under uncultured bacterium. RNAcentral describes it as "partial 16S ribosomal RNA". It matches the Rfam family "Bacterial small subunit ribosomal RNA", at positions 524 to 776 of the family's 1533-position model. The record is from RNAcentral.